CAUGCCACUAGUCUCUUUACUAAGCUGGUUCCCGGCUCCCUUUGCUCCCGCCAACUUGCGAUAUGCGAGACCGGGCCCAGCUUACUUCUGGUACCAGAUUUCCAGUGACAUGCGUAUAUUCAAUAACCAGUUCUGGUUCCAAACUGC
Molecule: long non-coding RNA, 147 nt
Organism: Haliotis rubra (blacklip abalone)
Lineage: Eukaryota; Metazoa; Mollusca; Gastropoda; Lepetellida; Haliotidae
Exons: 3
Source: RefSeq, a predicted model, not a curated record